UACGGAAGGCAGCAGUGGGGAAUAUUGGACAAUGGGCGAAAGCCUGAUCCAGCCAUGCCGCAUGAGUGAAGAAGGCCUUCGGGUUGUAAAGCUCUUUUAGUGAGAAAGAUAAUGACGGUACUCACAGAAGAAGUCCUGGCUAACUCCGUGCCAGCAGCCGCGGUAAUACGGAGAGGGCUAGCGUUAUUCGGAAUUAUUGGGCGUAAAGAGCGCGUAGGCUGAUUAGUAAGUUAAAAGUGAAAUCCCAAAGCUUAACUUUGGAAUUGCUUUUUAAAAACUGCUAGUCUAGAGAUUGAAAGAGGAUAGAGGAAUUCCUAGUGUAGAGGUGAAAUUCGUAAAUAUUAGGAGGAACACCAGUGGCGAAAGGCGUCUAUCUGGUUCAAAUCUGACGCUGAGGCGCGAAGGCGUGGGGAGCAAAACAGGGAUUAGAUACC
RNAcentral lists this ribosomal RNA (434 nucleotides) under uncultured bacterium. RNAcentral's name for it is "bacterial SSU rRNA". It matches the Rfam family "Bacterial small subunit ribosomal RNA", at positions 340 to 786 of the family's 1533-position model. The record is from RNAcentral.